Molecule: ribosomal RNA, 694 nt
Filed under: Saprolegnia eccentrica
Lineage: Eukaryota; Oomycota; Saprolegniomycetes; Saprolegniales; Saprolegniaceae
Also listed under: 1 other name
Description: LSU rRNA
Rfam family: Eukaryotic large subunit ribosomal RNA
Source: RNAcentral
UCAAUAAGCGGAGGAAAAGAAACUAACAAGGAUUCCCCCAGUAACGGCGAGUGAAGCGGGAAGAGCUCAAGCUUAAAAUCUCCAUGUUUUACAUGGCGAAUUGUAGUCUAUUGAGGCUGUUGUCAGCAUAGCGAUCUGGGACAAGUCCCUUGGAAAAGGGCAGCAUUGAGGGUGAUACUCCCGUCUCUGCUCAGAUUGUCUGUGUGUACGAUACGCUUUCUUUGAGUCGAGUUGUUUGGGAAUACAGCUCAAAGUAGGUGGUAAACACCAUCUAAAGCUAAAUAUUGGUGCGAGACCGAUAGCGAACAAGUACCGUGAGGGAAAGAUGAAAAGAACUUUGAAAAGAGAGUUAAAGAGUACCUGAAACUGUUGAAAGGGAACCGUAUCGUUUCCAGUGUUGUAUCCUGUGCAUAUUUCAUUAGCGGAGCAAUUUGCUGGUGCCCUGUGCAUGGGUGUGACGUCAGAGUCAGUUUGUAUGCUGCGGGAGAUGGUCAGUGAGGAGGUGCGUCACUUCGGUGAAAGUUAUAUCUCGCUGUCUAGUAGCCGUGGUUGAGACUGAGGUGCCUACAACAUGCCUUGGGGUUCAGUGUUGUCUCGUUUUGGUAACUGCUUGGAUAGCUUGCUAUGUCUGUGGUAUAUCUAGGCGAUUGAUGAUGUUGAUAACCUCUGCUGUUCGGGACUCUGGCGAAAUGGA